This 705-nucleotide ribosomal RNA is filed under the name Lutibacter sp. RNAcentral describes it as "bacterial SSU rRNA". It matches the Rfam family "Bacterial small subunit ribosomal RNA", at positions 28 to 724 of the family's 1533-position model. Lineage: Bacteria; Pseudomonadati; Bacteroidota; Flavobacteriia; Flavobacteriales; Flavobacteriaceae. The record is from RNAcentral.
GAUGAACGCUAGCGGCAGGCUUAACACAUGCAAGUUGAGGGGUAACAGGGAAGAGCUUGCUUUUCUGCUGACGACCGGCGCACGGGUGCGUAACGCGUAUAGAACCUACCUUUUACAGGGGAAUAGCCCAGAGAAAUUUGGAUUAAUGCCCCAUAGUAUUAUUGAAUGGCAUCAUUUAAUAAUUAAACAUUUAUGGGUAAAAGAUGGCUAUGCGUUCUAUUAGCUAGAUGGUAAGGUAACGGCUUACCAUGGCAACGAUAGAUAGGGGUCCUGAGAGGGAGAUCCCCCACACUGGUACUGAGACACGGACCAGACUCCUACGGGAGGCAGCAGUGAGGAAUAUUGGACAAUGGAGGCAACUCUGAUCCAGCCAUGCCGCGUGCAGGAAGACGGUCCUAUGGAUUGUAAACUGCUUUUAUAUAGGAAGAAACCUUUCCACGUGUGGAAAGCUGACGGUACUAUAAGAAUAAGCACCGGCUAACUCCGUGCCAGCAGCCGCGGUAAUACGGAGGGUGCAAGCGUUAUCCGGAAUCAUUGGGUUUAAAGGGUCCGUAGGCGGACUAAUAAGUCAGGGGUGAAAUCCAACAGCUUAACUGUUGAACUGCCUUUGAUACUGUUAGUCUUGAGUUAUAUGGAAGUAGAUAGAAUAUGUAGUGUAGCGGUGAAAUGCUUAGAGAUUACAUAGAAUACCGAUUGCGAAGGCAG